RNAcentral lists this non-coding RNA (198 nucleotides) under Tepidanaerobacter acetatoxydans. Its description in RNAcentral is "T-box sequence". It matches the Rfam family "T-box leader". From Rfam's summary of the family: Uncharged tRNA acts as the effector for transcription antitermination of genes in the T-box leader family. T-boxes are found upstream of many aminoacyl-tRNA synthetase genes and some amino acid biosynthetic genes usually in Gram-positive bacteria. The anticodon of a specific tRNA base pairs to a specifier sequence within the T-box motif, and the NCCA acceptor tail of the tRNA base pairs to a conserved bulge in the T-box antiterminator hairpin. RNAcentral also lists the same sequence under 1 other name. Lineage: Bacteria; Bacillati; Bacillota; Clostridia; Thermosediminibacterales; Tepidanaerobacteraceae. The record is from RNAcentral.
UUAAAGACUAUGAAAAGGAAAGUUAAAGAUAUUUUUUUAAAGAGAGCCGAUGGGUGGUGUAAAUCGGUAAAAAUGCUUUAUUUCCGCCUUGGAGUCGUUGACGAAGAGUCAAACGGUUUUAACCGUUAAAUUUUCUAAAGGGUUGCAUAUUUUGGGAAACUGAAAUAGGGUGGCAACGCGGUAAAUUCCGCCCCUUGC